UUUCCGUAGGUGAACCUGCGGAAGGAUCAUUAAUGGGAAAUCAAAUCAAAUCAAAACAAAUGUUCUGUUGCACUGGGUGUGCUGUGUGGUGGUGGUGUGAGACAUGGAGAUUCAAUCAUUGGAGAUUCAAUCAUUGGAGAUUCAAUCAUUGGAGAUUCAAUCAUUGGAGAUUCAAUCAUUCAAUCUCAAUCAUUGGAGAUUCAAUCAUUCAAUCUCAAUCAUUCAAUCUCAAUCAUUCAAUCUCAAUCAUCGCCACACAACACAACUAUCUAUCACACUCGAUCAACAACAACACACUCACACACAACAGCAAACAACUUUUAACAAUGGAUCUCUUGGCUCUA
RNAcentral lists this unclassified non-coding RNA (344 nucleotides) under plant metagenome. RNAcentral's name for it is "partial contains small subunit ribosomal RNA, internal transcribed spacer 1, and 5.8S ribosomal RNA". The record is from RNAcentral.